AAAUAGACUAAAACCAACCCUAACUUCUUUUUCUUCCCUCUUUUCUUCCACCGGUGGAGCAAACCCUAACUCCUUUUUUUUAUAAUUUUGAUUAGGGAAAGAAGGAGUUAUGUGUACCUGUAAAAUCUUCAUCCAACUGUGUGCUCCAAAACUAGACUUCGAUAUGGUUUGUAUGGAAGAACCUACCCAUAUUAUGGUUUGUUUCUUUUUCUCUGAUCUGUUUUGAUUUUUGGUUUCUUUUUUUUAGUUAUUUCAAUUUUUUGGCGCAUGAAUUACUGAAUAACAGAGAUUAUAUUUUUCUUCGUGAUCCUGCAAAACAAUUAGAAUUUGGUGAUCACGAGCUAAUGAAUUACUGAUGAGCAUUGUAUUCGGUGAUCUGAUAUUUUUUGGUUGCGUGAAGAAUUGUUACUAACUAACUACCUCUUAAGAAAUCAAGGGAAGUUACUUUCAGAAAAAGAUGAAGAAAAAUCAAAUGAGCAGAAACAACUUCCAGUGAAACUUAUAUUACUCUUUACUUCUGGAUAAUCCUGCUACUAUAUAUAUAUUGAGUUACUUUUAUUUUCUGAUAGUUUUGUAUAGUGUUUAGUGCAUCAGUUCUUUCUUACAAUGUUAACGUUGUCAUCAUUACGUAAAAGAACAACCUUGGAAGGAUGACUAUCAGAGCAAUAUCCCAUUAGAGAGCUCGAAAUCUUAAACAGCAAAGAAAGUGAAUUUGGAAAAGACACCUCACCAAAUUAAGGAUGUCUAUUUGAAGUUCAAGGAAUAACAACUUUAUAGGCAUAAUUGCUGACAAGAGAUUGAAGAAGCAUGUGGACAAUCUGCUCGCUCGAAAAAGUUAGGACUUUUAUACUUGGAAACACUUGCGGGCAGGGAAAUUUCGGAAUUUUAGGUGAAGGGAAGAGACCUAAGUCUCAGUAUCAGCGAAUAUUCAGCCCAAAUAACUCUUCUUCACAGCCGAAAAAAACUCUUCUUCUCAAUUUCGAUGGUGAGAUUCAAUUGAUUUUUCUUUUGCUAACAAGAGGUUGUGAUUAUGGAUUCUUCUAAUGCAUCAAAUUCAAAUACCACAAACUCUACAUGUGGUUCAUUGCCCUCUUCUAUGACUACUCAAAUUAAAGAUCCGGCAUGGGAAUGGGGUUAGGGUUAGUGUUCUAUGAUGGUUGCAAAGACGAAGAAGCAAAACAAGAUGUGGAUUUCCAAGGACCCAUCAAGUACCAAUAUCAGUGUAUCACCAAGAAAUUAGCCGACUAAGUAGCUAGGAGCUAUGGUACUAACAAUACAUGCAGGUUCAGUCACAAGUUUGAGUUAGCUAUCUACAUUGUUUAGUUAGCUCAUCAAGGAAACCUAAUUGCGAUUGCCAAAAUCUGCAGCUAAUAUUGAUUAUUGAGAAAGUUUUUGAUUUGAUUUUUACUUUUAGAAUGGUACUUGAACUUGAUCAAAUUCUCUGAAACUUCAUUGAUUCAGUCACUGUAGGGAUACAAUCAGUUUUUCAUGUCGUAUGAUGUCUAGAAUUACAGCAUGGUUAUGGAGUCCAUGCAGCGUUGAGAUUAUUUCCGCAAUGAAUAUCGUCUUUGCUAACUUUGCAUACCGAUUGUCGGGCCUCCCUAAUUUGAUGUACCUAUAAAUUUUGACAACAAGGUUAUGCAUGAGCUGGAUCUGUUUUUUUUUUUUUUGAGAGAAACUGACAACAAAUGGAGGAUUAGUUGAGAGCUCAGUUCAUUGUCAAAUUUGAAAUGUCUCAAUGCAGAAUAACUACAUUGCCUCUCAUCUUAAGGAGAGAUGCUACUUUCUGAGCCUAAGAAGAAAUAGAAGCUGGCACCAAGGUGAGAUAGCCAGCAUUUAGUCAACUAUGUUCAAUCGACCAUGCAUCUUUGCAGCUUCAUCAUAGCCUUGCUGUUACAACAGCUGCGACGUAACAUAACUACAUUUAGUUAGUACGUCUUUGUUUAAUUUGUUUCCCUUGGGGCCUUUAUGAUUGCACAAAUACAUACUAACCCAAUUUAUUUAUGAUUUUCACGAGAAACUCCACACUGCCUUACCAAAUCAGCCUUUUCCAUGAACCUGGAAGACAAACUAUUUCCAUUGGAUGUGAGUAUACUGCUGUCAAUAAACAUUGAUUGAAGCUCAUGGCUCUACAUUUAUAUAAUUGUGAAUAUAUCUCAUAUAGGUGUGACACCCUUCCAGUACUUAAAAGGUUAUGGUGAAUUCAUGCGUUCUUCUUGAUGCAGUGAGUUAAUUGAGUAUUUAACUGAUUUUGUAUAAUUUUGUUUCUUUAACCAUUCUUAUAUUUUUUAAUCUAGCUCUACUGAAUAAUUUUACCUGCAACCAACUCCAAUCAUUAUUUUUACGUUGCCAUUUAUAUAUGUUUAUAUUUCUUGGUGGAACCGUGGAAAGAGCUUUGUUUUAAUAAACAAAAUAUGGUCAUGGAAGUCUCUUAGAUACCUAAAAGUGACGACCAAAAGCAUUACAACCUCAAAAGAGGAGAUGUUGGCUGGAAAAUGAGACUUUUUAAUGAAAAACAUGGGUAAUUUUAGUUUUUCCUUUCCACUUAACCUGACUUAAUUUGGUUUUCUUUCUUGUCUUCCCGAGAGAUACCUAAAUAACUUUUUUUUUGUGCGCGUGAAACAAGAUUACUUCCGCAGAUAACUUGGGUGCGCAGUGAAGCACUACACGAGACAGUUUCUGUUGAAAUUGAGGUUUCUUCCUUUGAAGUCAAGUCUGAGUAAGAUUGUUGCCUUAAAGAACUUGGCUUCACAAUGUAUCACAACACGAGAUACACCAGAUGAAGAACAUAGUGGUUUCUACUGAAAUUUAGGUUUCAUCCUUAAAAGACAAGGCUAAACAGCAUGACACAUGAAAGAUGUCUCGGACUAGGACAUAGAUUGUGUAGUUGAGCUUAGACUUCACGGCUUUCAUCAU
This is a long non-coding RNA of Papaver somniferum (opium poppy), 2916 nucleotides long. RefSeq lists it as uncharacterized. The record is from RefSeq and is a predicted model, not a curated record. NCBI's taxonomy places the organism in Eukaryota, Viridiplantae, Streptophyta, Magnoliopsida, Ranunculales, Papaveraceae. The transcript has 10 exons.